GCUGAUUUCGCUGUCUAUCCGCUCUACGUGCACAACUAAGCAGGUAGUGCGCAGAGCGCGGCUAAAGGGGAGGCUGAAGAACAAAAUAAAGUCGCAAAAAGGAAAUCUUCAGGGUCACGAAUAAAAGGAGAAAGGAGUAAGAGAAGAGGGAAACAACGGCGAGAUAUAGACAACAAAUAGCUGCAGCUGGGAUGGAGGCUUCCCAGUUGGUUCUCACCCACAGACUCCAGACUGGGACAUGUCUGCUCACAAGCGACUCUCAAGAAAGAAAGAAGCCCUGAACCUUUUGUA
Melanotaenia boesemani (Boeseman's rainbowfish) is the source of this 291-nucleotide long non-coding RNA. RefSeq lists it as uncharacterized. The transcript is spliced from 3 exons. NCBI's taxonomy places the organism in Eukaryota, Metazoa, Chordata, Actinopteri, Atheriniformes, Melanotaeniidae. The record is from RefSeq and is a predicted model, not a curated record.